RNAcentral lists this ribosomal RNA (254 nucleotides) under uncultured bacterium. Its description in RNAcentral is "partial 16S ribosomal RNA". It matches the Rfam family "Bacterial small subunit ribosomal RNA", at positions 524 to 776 of the family's 1533-position model. The record is from RNAcentral.
UACGGGGGGUGCAAGCGUUGUCCGGAAUGAUUGGGCGUAAAGCAUCUGUAGGUGGUUUUUAAAGUCGACUGUGAAAGCCCAGGGCUCAACUUUGGAAAAGCGGUCGAGGACUUAAGAACUCGAGUUUGGUAGGGGUAGAGGGAAUUCCUAGUGGAGCGGUGAAAUGCACAGAGAUUAGGAAGAACACCGAUGGCGAAAGCACUCUACUGGGCCACGACUGACACUGAGAGAUGAAAGUUGGGGGAGCGAAGAGG